This 2892-nucleotide ribosomal RNA is filed under the name Shigella flexneri 7b. Its description in RNAcentral is "bacterial LSU rRNA". It matches the Rfam family "Bacterial large subunit ribosomal RNA". The record is from RNAcentral. Lineage: Bacteria; Pseudomonadati; Pseudomonadota; Gammaproteobacteria; Enterobacterales; Enterobacteriaceae.
ACUAAGCGUACACGGUGGAUGCCCUGGCAGUCAGAGGCGAUGAAGGACGUGCUAAUCUGCGAUAAGCGUCGGUAAGGUGAUAUGAACCGUUAUAACCGGCGAUUUCCGAAUGGGGAAACCCAGUGUGAUUCGUCACACUAUCAUUAACUGAAUCCAUAGGUUAAUGAGGCGAACCGGGGGAACUGAAACAUCUAAGUACCCCGAGGAAAAGAAAUCAACCGAGAUUCCCCAGUAGCGGCGAGCGAACGGGGAGCAGCCCAGAGCCUGAAUCAGUGUGUGUGUUAGUGGAAGCGUCUGGAAAGGCGUGCGAUACAGGGUGACAGCCCCGUACACAAAAAUGCACAUACUGUGAGCUCGAUGAGUAGGGCGGGACACGUGGUAUCCUGUCUGAAUAUGGGGGGACCAUCCUCCAAGGCUAAAUACUCCUGACUGACCGAUAGUGAACCAGUACCGUGAGGGAAAGGCGAAAAGAACCCCGGCGAGGGGAGUGAAAAAGAACCUGAAACCGUGUACGUACAAGCAGUGGGAGCACGCUUAGGCGUGUGACUGCGUACCUUUUGUAUAAUGGGUCAGCGACUUAUAUUCUGUAGCAAGGUUAACCGAAUAGGGGAGCCGAAGGGAAACCGAGUCUUAACUGGGCGUUAAGUUGCAGGGUAUAGACCCGAAACCCGGUGAUCUAGCCAUGGGCAGGUUGAAGGUUGGGUAACACUAACUGGAGGACCGAACCGACUAAUGUUGAAAAAUUAGCGGAUGACUUGUGGCUGGGGGUGAAAGGCCAAUCAAACCGGGAGAUAGCUGGUUCUCCCCGAAAGCUAUUUAGGUAGCGCCUCGUGAAUUCAUCUCCGGGGGUAGAGCACUGUUUCGGCAAGGGGGUCAUCCCGACUUACCAACCCGAUGCAAACUGCGAAUACCGGAGAAUGUUAUCACGGGAGACACACGGCGGGUGCUAACGUCCGUCGUGAAGAGGGAAACAACCCAGACCGCCAGCUAAGGUCCCAAAGUCAUGGUUAAGUGGGAAACGAUGUGGGAAGGCCCAGACAGCCAGGAUGUUGGCUUAGAAGCAGCCAUCAUUUAAAGAAAGCGUAAUAGCUCACUGGUCGAGUCGGCCUGCGCGGAAGAUGUAACGGGGCUAAACCAUGCACCGAAGCUGCGGCAGCGACGCUUAUGCGUUGUUGGGUAGGGGAGCGUUCUGUAAGCCUGUGAAGGUGUGCUGUGAGGUAUGCUGGAGGUAUCAGAAGUGCGAAUGCUGACAUAAGUAACGAUAAAGCGGGUGAAAAGCCCGCUCGCCGGAAGACCAAGGGUUCCUGUCCAACGUUAAUCGGGGCAGGGUGAGUCGACCCCUAAGGCGAGGCCGAAAGGCGUAGUCGAUGGGAAACAGGUUAAUAUUCCUGUACUUGGUGUUACUGCGAAGGGGGGACGGAGAAGGCUAUGUUGGCCGGGCGACGGUUGUCCCGGUUUAAGCGUGUAGGCUGGUUUUCCAGGCAAAUCCGGAAAAUCAAGGCCGAGGCGUGAUGACGAGGCACUACGGUGCUGAAGCAACAAAUGCCCUGCUUCCAGGAAAAGCCUCUAAGCAUCAGGUAACAUCAAAUCGUACCCCAAACCGACACAGGUGGUCAGGUAGAGAAUACCAAGGCGCUUGAGAGAACUCGGGUGAAGGAACUAGGCAAAAUGGUGCCGUAACUUCGGGAGAAGGCACGCUGAUACGUAGGUGAAGCGACUUGCUCGUGGAGCUGAAAUCAGUCGAAGAUACCAGCUGGCUGCAACUGUUUAUUAAAAACACAGCACUGUGCAAACACGAAAGUGGACGUAUACGGUGUGACGCCUGCCCGGUGCCGGAAGGUUAAUUGAUGGGGUUAGCGCAAGCGAAGCUCUUGAUCGAAGCCCCGGUAAACGGCGGCCGUAACUAUAACGGUCCUAAGGUAGCGAAAUUCCUUGUCGGGUAAGUUCCGACCUGCACGAAUGGCGUAAUGAUGGCCAGGCUGUCUCCACCCGAGACUCAGUGAAAUUGAACUCGCUGUGAAGAUGCAGUGUACCCGCGGCAAGACGGAAAGACCCCGUGAACCUUUACUAUAGCUUGACACUGAACAUUGAGCCUUGAUGUGUAGGAUAGGUGGGAGGCUUUGAAGUGUGGACGCCAGUCUGCAUGGAGCCGACCUUGAAAUACCACCCUUUAAUGUUUGAUGUUCUAACGUGGACCCGUGAUCCGGGUUGCGGACAGUGUCUGGUGGGUAGUUUGACUGGGGCGGUCUCCUCCUAAAGAGUAACGGAGGAGCACGAAGGUUGGCUAAUCCUGGUCGGACAUCAGGAGGUUAGUGCAAUGGCAUAAGCCAGCUUGACUGCGAGCGUGACGGCGCGAGCAGGUGCGAAAGCAGGUCAUAGUGAUCCGGUGGUUCUGAAUGGAAGGGCCAUCGCUCAACGGAUAAAAGGUACUCCGGGGAUAACAGGCUGAUACCGCCCAAGAGUUCAUAUCGACGGCGGUGUUUGGCACCUCGAUGUCGGCUCAUCACAUCCUGGGGCUGAAGUAGGUCCCAAGGGUAUGGCUGUUCGCCAUUUAAAGUGGUACGCGAGCUGGGUUUAGAACGUCGUGAGACAGUUCGGUCCCUAUCUGCCGUGGGCGCUGGAGAACUGAGGGGGGCUGCUCCUAGUACGAGAGGACCGGAGUGGACGCAUCACUGGUGUUCGGGUUGUCAUGCCAAUGGCACUGCCCGGUAGCUAAAUGCGGAAGAGAUAAGUGCUGAAAGCAUCUAAGCACGAAACUUGCCCCGAGAUGAGUUCUCCCUGACCCUUUAAGGGUCCUGAAGGAACGUUGAAGACGACGACGUUGAUAGGCCGGGUGUGUAAGCGCAGCGAUGCGUUGAGCUAACCGGUACUAAUGAACCGUGAGGCUUAACC